Long non-coding RNA from Salvia splendens (bonfire salvia), 1833 nucleotides. RefSeq lists it as uncharacterized. The record is from RefSeq and is a predicted model, not a curated record. The transcript has 2 exons. NCBI's taxonomy places the organism in Eukaryota, Viridiplantae, Streptophyta, Magnoliopsida, Lamiales, Lamiaceae.
UAAUUACUAUGGCCCAAAAGGGAUUUAAAUUUCUCAAACAAAGGCCCACAUCUCAAUUUAAAUGGGUAUGGCCCAAUUUUAUACUCCCACCGUCGAGACUUCUCUGUCUCUCUUCCUUAAUUUGUGAAAAAUUCCUAAUCUCUUUCUUCUUGUCUCUUUUCUUCCACCUCUUUGAAUCCACGACACCGCUGCCCUCGUCGCGUCUCCUGGGGUGUUCGUCGUCGCCGUCGUGGUCUCUUCCCUACCCCUUUGAAUUUCCUAUAUCCCCCGUCUCCUUCUCGACAAUUAGGGAUCUAAAUUUUGGAAACCCUAGGUAGGUGGAGAACUCGUCGCCGUCGUUGGAGUUCUGUGAACUCGCCGUCGAUGCCUUUUUCUCGUCGUCUCGUGCUGGGUACGGCCUACCAGCGUGGAGCCGGUGUCGCCUCCGUCCCUAGCCGACGCCGCGACUGGUGUAUCCGUCGCGUUGGGACAGCCCGCACUCCGGCCGACAUUUUCGUUUCUUCCUCCGGAGGGAGCUUCGCUCGCCGUCGUCUGUUGCAGAGGGAACUUCGCUCGCCGUCGAACCGUGAGGUCCCUGCUCCGGGCGCCGUCAAGCAAAGCUCGGUGUUCCGCUGACGAAGCUAAGUCUUUUCUUCUUAACUUUAUUUAAUGUUUCUAUUUAGAGUCGUAGGUGGUGGUUCUCUGAUUAGAGAUUGUCGGUUGGAAGCUCGAUGGGGUGCUUACUUUUAUAUCCAUCGAAGCAUGUAGUGUGAGGAGGCUAAACUGUGGUAUCAUCUCGUUGGCUAUUUCCUAUCAUGCUUAAGUUUCGGAACUAUGGGGUUUUUCUAGCUUGCUUGGUGUCUACAUGAUGCUAUAACUUGGUUAACUGAGUUUGAAGGGGAUUGAGGUUACCUUCACUGAACUUGUGCUGCUAUUUCUCACUUCUGGCCUUGUUUUCCCUCACUCCUCCACUUGCUGCUCCACUAAGCGAGUAAUUUGUGGUGGGAUGGAGGGUGGAACCGAGGGGAAUUGGCAUAUUUAUGCCCAGCUUGUAACUGAAAGCUGCACAAUGGCUGAUGUACUUUGCUGAAAAAGAGGUUUACAGGCUGGGCAGCUGGCUGCUCUCUUGCAGCUCUGCAGAGCACUUACCCUGUUCCCUUGGCCUCUUUUGUAACUGAUUCUGGUGUUUCAUGGUAGUGGCUGUUCCCUCUACAGACUCGCAGGGAUGUACUCGUGAUAUGGAUGAGCCUAUGACUCCUGGCUGUGCUCUGAUAUCAUAACUGAAUUUAGUGCUUUAGUGCCUGCAUUCCCUUGCUGUACAUCUUAACUGUAUUUGUCUCCAUAUGAGGUGUAGUACUAGGUUUAUUUAUUGCUUCUGUUGGUUUAUGGCAGGUGCACACAGGGGAUGGCAUUUAGUGGCUGUUUUCCUCGACCAUAGUAGGUCUAGACAGCAUGGUACGGCUGUCAUCUGCAGCCUUGCAGUGUUGCAGCUGGAAGGAAGGAAUUCGUUUGCUGAUCUUGCCUUUCUUGGCCCAUCUCUUCCUCACUUAAAUAAAAGGAACCGAGGUUGGCCACCGAGCUGCCCUCUCUUGUGGUCUCGCCCUCUCGUGUUCAUCUGAAUUUCUGGGCCGAGACGACCUAUUGAAGAAGGCUGACAAAGUCGCUAGGGUCGCGAGUUGUAUAGUAUAGUUUACACUUUCUUUACCGUAUGAACGGAAAGCUUGACGAUGGUUGAUGUAUAUUCCUUUCUAGUAUUUGUAAUUCAUCAGCUUUGAAUUUCUGAAAUUUGUACUUAUACUCUUAAUAAAAAAAAAACUCAUUCAUUCCUUAAUAAAAUUCUAGUAUUUUAUUUCA